Molecule: long non-coding RNA, 4067 nt
Organism: Ahaetulla prasina
Lineage: Eukaryota; Metazoa; Chordata; Lepidosauria; Squamata; Colubridae
Exons: 2
Source: RefSeq, a predicted model, not a curated record
GUCGCUCCCCUUUUCCUCGCCUCUCCCCCCCCCCUCAAGCCCGUCAGUAUGUCGGUUUGUCACUCGCCUCCCGGAUUGGUGGAAACGCCAUUCACGUGACGGGAGUCGGGCGAGAGGAACGGGUAGACACGCGGUGCGGUCGUGAGCAUUAGCGAGGCGAAGGGAGAUGUUUUACAGGUGGCAUUUACCCCCGACAAGAAUUGCCAGAAUGUUCAAGGACAAAUCUGAAAAAUGCUGGAAAUGUCAUCAGACACCUGGAUCAUACUACUACAUGUGGUAGACAUGCGUUGAAGCGAAAAGAUAUUGGACUAAAAUACACAUGUGAUUGGAAAAAAUGAUCUAAAAACAUAUUGACUUUAAGCCAGAAGUCUUUCUGUUGGGAAUUAUGCCUGAGAUAUAUACUAGAGAUAUAAAGCAUUUGAUUGUGAAUAUCACUACAGCAGCUAGGAUUGUAUUUGCAAAAAAUUGAAAAAAUGAAGUUCCCUUCACAAGAUGAAAUAAUUAGAAAAAUGUUGGAAUGUGCAGAGAUGAGUAAGUUAACAUUUGAAAUUAGAGAGCAAGAAGAUAAGCAGUAUUAUAAAAUACGGUUUAUUCUAUAAUUGGUUAGAUGGAAAGAUAUGUUAGAAAAGAUAAGUAUAAGAUACAUGUAUGAAAGAGAUGUUUAUUUUGUGAAUGCACAGGAAGAUAUGUAGCACCCGUGCAGCACGUUGUAAUGAAAUUGAUUUGAUGAGGGGGGUUUUUUUAUGCUUAAAAAUAAAUAAAAAAAUUUCCAAAAAAAAAUCUAACUCCAUAGAACCAGUGCCCAAAAGGUUGGGGGCCAUUGUUCUACAGGAUUGUUUUACUAUGUUUUUUUCUUGCUUUCUCAUGGUAUUUUAUUAUGCAAAUAAUAUACCUUGGUCCAGGUUUUGGAACAUUUCCAGCUUUCAAUUCAUCUAUUAUGUUUUCAAUGUCUUUUGUUGUCAGAUCUUCCUGUAAAAUUAAUGAAAACAAUAUUCCACAAAUUAAAUAUGAUAUUUUCUUCAUCUGUAUGUUUAUUGUAUUUAAUGUGUUACAGAACUCUUCCUUUUGCUUCAGAAGCCUACAAUAAUUGUACUUCAGAAGUUAAAAGACUAUCUUAUAUUUAUUUAUAUGGCUGCCUAUCUUUCAAUUGUGACUUUCUGUGAUGUUCUGAACAUAAAUCAAAAAACUAUAUAAAGAUUAAAUAUAUAUGCAUAUUGUAUUUUACUGCACAUAUAUCAAAUGCAUAAUUAAUGUUGAGUUAAUAUAUUAGCAAUAGAGUAUUGGCAAAAUUAGAUACCUGAGGAUGAUAGGAUUUCUUAAUUUUCCAACUAAAGUCAAAAAAGGAAAAGGAAAAUACUAAAAUCUGUCUAUAUCUUUAUGUCAAUUGAGUUGAAUUCCACACACAGUAAAAAAGUAUCAUACUCUCAUUGAACAUUACAUGUGAUUUAGCACAGGCAUUUUCAAGCUUUUUCAAGUUAUGGAAACAAUUUAUAUAUAUUUUUUAAAUUCUGCCACUCCCAACAAAACGUAACACUCUAGUAAGAGAACAUCUAUGUUGGAGCUUACCCCCCCCAACUUAAUUUCUCAAGGAACCACAUCAAGUUCUCAUGAAACCCUAGUGAGAACAAGGGUACAAUUCGAAAAACCCGAUUUAGUGCACAAAAGCAUUGUAGGUGGUGCACAAACUAACUUGCCAACAGAAUGAGGAAUAAGUUUUACACUGGUAUGAAGGGAUCACAUUUCAAGUUGCCAGGAUAAAACCCUCUAUAAUGCAUCAUCUUGUAAUUAAUUUAUUCAGAUAAAUAUGCAUAAGGACAAACAUGCCAAUUAGAAACAAUUCAAUUAAAAAGAUAAUGGUUUCAUAAUGGGCAAAACCUCUUGACAAGAAAAAUUUAUGGUUAUCACCGACAGAUGAAUAUGCUGUCCUGCAGGAGCUAUAUUCAUAUUUUCUUCCAAUUGUGUUUUCAAUCAGUGCAGGCAUUACCUAUAUAUUCCUGCCCAGUCAGAAAGCCAAUGGCACCAAUGAUCAAUUUGCACUCAGUGCCAAGAGUUUAGGUGUGAAUUAUGUUAUACAGGUAGUCCUCGACUAACCUUUUGUUUAGUGACCAUUCAAAGUUACUACAACACAAAAAGGUGCCUUAAGUUUGUUUUUCACACUUGGAACCAUUUAUUUCAUUUGACUGCAUUAUAGGUGUUUCUUAAAAUUCUAUUAUUUAUGUUUUUGCCACAAAUAAAAGUGAUUGUUUAAAGUGAUGGAAAAGCAAAAAUCAAUUUUGAGGCAAUUUAUUUUUUAAAUCAGUUAAAGCUUUAAAAAAUAAUUGUAGUUUCUUAGCACAUCAAAAUUUACCUGGGAUAUCUGCAUGAGAUUAUAAUUUUUGAUUAUGCAGGGGAAAAAUUGUUGCAUCUACUAAAGGGCUUGAGAGACAGAAUGGAAGCUAGGUUAAAUGGCAGAAAAAAUAUUACAAAUGAAGUAUACAUGUCCCAGGAUAAUGUUGCAAGAUCCAAUCUGGAUCAGUCACCGGGACAAGAGGGUCUUCUGAGCUUUUGGACUUGUGCUGGAGCCAAUCCUCAAGGAACUUCACUCUCACCAGAUUUGUCCUUUAUUAAGUGUGUAUUUAUAUGGUGCCUUCCUAUUGGUUGAUUGGCAUGUUGACGGCUGGCAAUUGGCUGUUUCCUUGUGCUGUCAAAACUACAAAGCUUAAAUGUGACUCCUUAAAUCAUGAUCUCCUCUGACACAAUGUCCCUAUUUACAUCCAUACUUCCUCACUUAGCAUACAAAUAAUAGAUUUAAAAAAACCAGAAGAGUACAAGACAGAUCAGAACAACCUAACCAGGACACAAAUCAUGAAGUUACUCCAGUACCACCAGCAUACCUUUUUCAUAUUCAAAAGGGAAAUGUAUCAGCAAAAAGAAGGGACACCCAUGGGAUCCGCAAUAUCAAGAGUUGUUGCAGAAACUGUCCUAUGCAAACUAGAACAUCAUACAUUUCUAAACUACACAUCUAAAUUUUGGUGUCGCUACAUGGGCAACGUGUGUCAUAAAUGAACGAAAUGCACUGAAAGAUUUUCAUACUCUACUGAACUUUUAUCUUUCUAGACACACAAUUCACAAUGGAGGAAGAAACAGCUAGAUGAUUACCAUUUUUAGAUGUAUUAGUCAAUAGGCAGGAAGAUAGAAGCCUCAAAACCAUGGUUUAUUGCAAGGCCACCAACACUCCACAUAUUCUUAAUUUCAACAAAAAGAAAUACAAAAAGAGUUGCCUCAUAACACCAAAUGGCAGGGUGAGAACUCACUGUAGUACAAAGCAAGCUAAAUAACUGGAGAGAAGGUACCUACAUGAACAAUUCAGGCAGAAUGGGUACCCAUAAGCAUUUAUUACAAGAUACCUGCACAACACACGAAGGUAUAAAAUCAAUAUAUGGCACAUCAAAAACAUUUCAGAAGCAGUAGAACACAGCUGCUGAUAUCUCCAAGUGGGCACUGCAUAGUGCCCAGAGACUACCAUACAAGGACAAAUCAUGCAUUGGAGGUGGGAGAUACUUCUAAUGUAAUUUACUGGAUUCCCUGCAUGGAUUGCCCCAUGACUAUGUAGGAUGGACAUAGAGGAAGCUAACCACCAGAUUACAAGAACACACAAGUGAGUGGUCAGACAAGUACUCAUUGGUAGUCUCUCAUAGCAAUGAACAAGGACAUAUAUUCAAUUUUGCAGUUACUAAGAUUGUUGACCGUGAAGGUAGAAAGAUAGCCAGGGAAAUGAUUGAAGUCUGUGAAACAGACCCCUUCUCAGUCAACAGGAGUACUGAUUUACGCACCAUAUAAAUACAAUGCAUAGAAUAGCCCAAAGGACUCAUUCCAGCAAAGAAGUUCCCUGAGGAGGGGCUCCAACACAAGUCCAAAAGCUUGGAAGACUAAAUUUCUGGUUCUAGUGACUAACCCAGAUUGGAUCUUGCAGAAAAUAUAUUGCUCUAUGCUCACAGAGCAUAACCAUAUUCAUAUUUCUGAUCUUUAUAUGUUGGAAAGUGUAUAGAAUUUCAUAGCACAAUAAAUAAUAUACAGAAUGCCUAAAA